UUAACAUUGUAUAGUUCUUAGACAGACACGUAAACAGUUCGGGUUAGGGAUCUUUGGCGGGCACUCGCCGGGGCCCCCGGCACAAGGCUGGGAGCCGGCGACGGCCGUAGGAGCUACGGGCGGCCCGCCGAAGCAACAGAGUAUGUAGGCAAGGGUUGGAGGUCUACCCAGAGGGCAGGGACUCGAUAAUGAUCCUUCCGCAGGUUCACCUACGGAAA
RNAcentral lists this unclassified non-coding RNA (218 nucleotides) under uncultured fungus. RNAcentral's name for it is "sequence contains ITS1". Lineage: Eukaryota; Fungi. The record is from RNAcentral.